CCUSAGAGUUUGAUCAUGGCUCAGAUUGAACGCUGGCGGCAGGCUUAACACAUGCAAGUCGAGCGGGGGAAGGUAGCUUGCUACYGGACCUAGCGGCGGACGGGUGAGUAAUSCUUAGGAAUCUGCCUAUUAGUGGGGGACAACAUCUCGAAAGGGAUGCUAAUACCGCAUACGUCCUASGGGAGAAAGCAGRGGAUCUUCGGACCUUSCGYUAAUAGAUGAGCCUAAGUCGGAUUAGCUAGUUGGUGGGGUAAAGGCCUACCAAGGCGACGAUCUGUAGCGGSUCUGAGAGGAUGAUCCSCCMCACUGGGACUGAGACACGGCCCAGAYUCCUACGGGAGGCASCAGUGGGGAAUAUUGGMCAAUGGGCGCAAKCCUGAUCCASCCAUSCCGSGUGUGUGAAGAAGSCCUUAUGGUUGUAAAGCACUUUAAGCGAGGAGGAGGMUACUUUAGAUAAUACCUAGAGAUAGUGGACGUUMCUCGCAGAAUAAGCACCGGCUAACUCUGUSCCASCASCCGCGGUAAUACAGAGGGUGCAAGCGUUAAUSGGAUUUWCUGGGSGUAAAGCGCGCGUAGGCGGYUAAUUAAGUCAAAUGUGAAAUCCCCGAGCUUAMCUUGGGAAUUSCAUUSGAUACUGGUUAGCUAGAGUGUGGGAGAGGAUGGUAGAAUUCCAGGUGUAGCGGUGAAAUGSGUAGAGAUCUGGAGGAAUMCCGAUGGSGAAGGCASCCAUCUGKCCUAACACUGMCGCUGAGGUGCGAAAGCAUGGGGAGCAAMCAGGAUUAGAUMCCCUGGUAGUCCAUSCCGUAAACGAUGUCUACUAGCCGUUGGGGCCUUUGAGSCUUUAGUGGCGCAGCUAACGCRAUAASYAGACCGCG
This 875-nucleotide ribosomal RNA is filed under the name Acinetobacter nosocomialis. RNAcentral describes it as "partial 16S ribosomal RNA". Lineage: Bacteria; Pseudomonadati; Pseudomonadota; Gammaproteobacteria; Moraxellales; Moraxellaceae. The record is from RNAcentral.